GAUGAACGCUGGCGGCGUGCUUAACACAUGCAAGUCGAACGAUGAAGCCCAGCUUGCUGGGUGGAUUAGUGGCGAACGGGUGAGUAACACGUGAGUAACCUGCCCUUAACUCUGGGAUAAGCCUGGGAAACUGGGUCUAAUACCGGAUAGGAGCGUCCACCGCAUGGUGGGUGUUGUAAAGAUUUAUCGGUUUUGGAUGGACUCGCGGCCUAUCAGCUUGUUGGUGAAGUAAUGGCUCACCAAGGCGACGACGGGUAGCCGGCCUGAGAGGGUGACCGGCCACACUGGGACUGAGAGACGGCCCAGACUCCUACGGGAGGCAGCAGUGGGGAAUAUUGCACAAUGGGCGCACGCCUGAUGCAGCGACGCCGCGUGAGGGAUGACGGCCUUCGGGUUGUAAACCUCUUUCAGUAGGGAAGAAGCGAAAGUGACGGUACCUGCAGAAGAAGCACCGGCUAACUACGUG
RNAcentral lists this ribosomal RNA (466 nucleotides) under uncultured bacterium. RNAcentral describes it as "partial 16S ribosomal RNA". It matches the Rfam family "Bacterial small subunit ribosomal RNA", at positions 28 to 507 of the family's 1533-position model. The record is from RNAcentral.